CGCCCUUGAGUUUGAUCAUGGCUCAGGACGAACGCUGGCGGCGUGCCUAACACAUGCAAGUCGAGCGAUGAAGCCCUUCAGGGCUGAUUAGCGGCGGACGGGUGAGUAACACGUGGGUAACCUGCCUCAUAGAGGGGGAUAGCCUCCCGAAAGGGAGAUUAAUACCGCAUAAUAUAUUUUGGUUGCAUGACCGAAAUAUCAAAGGAGUAAUCCGCUAUGAGAUGGACCCGCGGCGCAUUAGCUAGUUGGUGAGGUAAGGGCUCACCAAGGCGACGAUGCGUAGCCGACCUGAGAGGGUGAUCGGCCACAUUGGAACUGAUACACGGUCCAGACUCCUACGGGAGGCAGCAGUGGGGAAUAUUGCGCAAUGGAGGAAACUCUGACGCAGCAACGUUUUUUUUAUGAUGAAGGCCUUAGGGUUGUAAAGUUCUGUCUUCUGGGACGAUAAUGACGGUACCAGAGGAGGAAGCCACGGCUAACUACGUGCCAGCAGCCGCGGUAA
Molecule: ribosomal RNA, 502 nt
Filed under: uncultured Clostridium sp.
Lineage: Bacteria; Bacillati; Bacillota; Clostridia; Eubacteriales; Clostridiaceae
Description: bacterial SSU rRNA
Rfam family: Bacterial small subunit ribosomal RNA
Source: RNAcentral